CAUCAUUAGUCACCAGAUUUAUUAGCAAAGAGUAAAAUUUACAAAAAGGUGGAUAUAUAGAUUCACAAGAGCUUUGACAAGCACAUCCAAUAAAAGGUAGGAACUUGCCAAAGAAAGAGGGAAAAAAAUAAAAUGGAAACUAAACUUCAGGACUCAGAAGAGAAUUUCAAAAAGGAACAGCAGCAGAAAGGGAUAUUCUCAACCACCAACAGCAUAUGGGAGCUUCAAGCAAAAACUUCAGAGUGAUGUAAGUCUUCUUCAUCAUCGUCCCAACAACAAAACAAAGCUAAACAUGAUAUAGAAGAGAUAGC
This 311-nucleotide long non-coding RNA is filed under the name Elaeis guineensis (African oil palm). RNAcentral's name for it is "long non-coding RNA (EGUI_LNC008835)". Lineage: Eukaryota; Viridiplantae; Streptophyta; Magnoliopsida; Arecales; Arecaceae. The record is from RNAcentral.